Brienomyrus brachyistius is the source of this 4697-nucleotide long non-coding RNA. RefSeq lists it as uncharacterized. The transcript is spliced from 3 exons. The record is from RefSeq and is a predicted model, not a curated record. Lineage: Eukaryota; Metazoa; Chordata; Actinopteri; Osteoglossiformes; Mormyridae.
UUUCACUGAUGCUAUGACAGAGUGGUAAGUCAGCCCGUUAUCAGACGGGGGGUUUCACUGAUGCUAUGACAGAGUGGUAAGUCAGCCCGUUAUCAGACGGGGGGUUUCACUGAUGCCAUGACAGAGUGGUAACUCGGCCGGUUAUCAGACAGGGUGUUUUACUGAUGUCACGACAGAGUGGUAACUCAGCCGGUUAUCAGACAGGGUGUUUUACUGAUGUCACGACAGAGUGGUAACUCGGUCCGUUAUUAGAUUGAGCCUGACCCUCAUACACAACAAUUUUCCAUGUGUAUCCAGUGGCAGAACUGGCCAGUGCGAAUACCCCCAUUUAAAUGGCUUGUCCUUCAUUUACUCUUCCAUUUCUAUACAAGGCUUGGUGUCCUCCAUCUGUUUGUCCACUGCCGGAUUUCUCUCUGGUUGAAUGGUACAAGCUAAAGUGUUGACCCCAUACAGGGGCUUGAUCGUCCAGACCCAGGUGUACUGAGAAAUUCUGUUUUUGUGUGUGUUCUCCUCAUCCAGGUCUAAGUUGGAACGAUGAAUAUCCCACAAUAUUACAGAAAAUCUUGGGAUAUCAGUGAGUUCGGAAAGAGAAUCCAAGCUUGAAAUGGGUACAGGCAUAGUCAACCAAGUUGCUUCAAAUCACUUUAUGUCGCAUUCAUUCUGUCUGGCUCUGAUUGGUCUACAGCUUUGGGCCAAUGAAAAGCACUGAAACUGCUUUGUAAGACACUUUGUGACGGAAUAAUUACUGCAGAUGGAGAGGCUUUACUGAGGGAAAGUCACUGGGGGGUCACUUUUGUGGCAGUGAACACAAAUGCUUAUAUCUCAGGGACAGAACAUUGUAAAAGAAGAAAAUUUUAAAAUUGCUUUACUCCAAAAACUCAGUUCUAAAAUUAGUAUUAACCAAAACAUUCUUUUUCCGAAACAUUAGCCGGCCGUAUUACAAAGCAUUGCUAAUUAAUAUUUGUAACUAAUUAUUUGCUGCAUUUUGGCUGUGUUCCAAUGGAUCACAGCACCAUACUCUGGAGAAUGGACACCACAUUUCAAUGGUUCAUUGCAACACAAUGAAUUUGCACCACAACAAUUAAUUCAGGGCAGUGCAGCACUUUUAAACAUUUCCAUCCCGCACCUCAUUGUGACAGCUCGUUGUUCUCAUUUCAGUACUCUUUUUUUAUUAUUUUUUUUUAUUUUUAAAUUUGCUCUGUUCUAUGAAUUUAACCAGCUUUCCCCAGUUCUACUCUCCAAUCAGCAAGUGCUAAAAUCAAACAAAACAUCAAACGCUGGAAGUAACAUGCAACUGAAGUUUACAGUGCACUCACCCCUCUCACAGAGCAACAUCAAAGGUUCACAGUUUUAGACCAGCGGUUCUGUGGUACUGGGGCAAGAACCAGUUUCUUUGGCAUUGCACCAGAUAGUCAGCAGUGGAAAAGUGCGGAAGCAGUUACAAUUUAGGUACCAGCAUUGGUUCCGUUUUGGUUGAAAGGGGCUCCCACGUAGCGGCUGAUUCUGGGCCAAAUCCACCUGCAUCUGCUUCAAUCUGGGUGCCAGUGACAUUCAGGUAGGAGAGUCUGCACCUGAAUCUGUCCAGAGUUCUAACUGAUUACAGUAGGUCUGUAUACACUCUGAAGAUCUGGUGUGCAUCCACCUGACUAUAUGCGUAUGAUCAGUCACUUACCAGAUCCGGCACACAUCCGCCUGACCAUAUGCGUAUGAUCAGUAACUUACCAGAUCCGGCACACAUCCGCCUGACCAUAUGCGUAUGAUUAGUAACUUACCAGAUCCGGCACACAUCCGCCUGACCAUAUGCGUAUGAUCAGUAACUUACCAGAUCCGGCACACAUCCGCCUGACCAUAUGCGUAUGAUCAGUAACUUACCAGAUCCGGCACACAUCCGCCUGACCAUAUGCCUAUGAUCAGUAACUUACCAGAUCCGGCAGACAUCCGCCUGACCAUAUGCGUAUGAUCAGUAACUUUACAGAUCCGGCACACAUCCGCCUGACCAUAUGCGUAUGAUCAGUAACUUACCAGAUCCGGCACACAUCCGCCUGACCAUAUGCGUAUGAACAGUAACUUACCAGAUCCGGUACACAUCCGCCUGACCAUAUGCGUAUGAUCAGUAACUUACCAGAUCCGGCACACAUUCACCUGACCAUAUGCGUAUGAUCAGUAACGCCUCAUGAUCAGUCCUUAACGCCUCAGGGUGUCCCGUGGUCUGCCGGGUGGCCUCAGGGCGUCCCGUGGUCUGCCAGGUGGCCUCACUGUUGGGCUCCCCCUUUCCCAUGUAUUGCUGCUUCUCUCUAGAUUUCUGUCAAAGGCCUUUUUCACAGCAUUCAUUACCUUUCCCAGGCUGGGCCAUAGGAUGGCCCAUCGAGAUUAAUAAAGCGUAAAAUGCUAGACCACCCACACACCUACCCUCCCCCCCAAUCUGUCUGUUCCCCUGCUGUGUAUCAUAGGAGAGGGAAUAGAAGCAUAGUGUUGGGAAGACACAUAGCUAAGUAUCAUAGUGCAGGCAUCUAGAAGUAUAGAGCAGGCACGUAGCUAUGUCACAGGGCAGGAAUCUAAAAGCAUAGCGUAACUCAGGCACAUAGCUAUGUCAUAGAACAGGGAUCUAGAAGCAUAAUGUAUGAUAGGCACAUAGCUAUGUCAGAGGACAGGGAUCUAGAGGCAUAAGGCAGGGAUAUAGAACCAUAGUGUAGGACAGGCACAUAGCUACACUAUAUUGCAAAUAAAUUGGAACACCGCUGGGGACAAUUCAGGUGACAAUCCAGAACCACAAAGGCAGCUGUCAGAGCUGCAGUCCCCAUCCGCACAGACACCCCGGACCAAGCCUUGCUACCGGAACCGCGAGCACUUCGCCACUAUCCAGACCGCCUCCCUGGUAACGCGGCAGGAACAGGACUUUGAGCUGCGAGAGCAGAUGUCGGCAGGGACGGAUUAUGGGUUGUGUGGCCCCUGGGCAAAACGUUCGCGAGGGCCCCCCCCCCACCACCACCACCAGCACCACCACCACAACCACCACAAUUCAAGGGCCCUUGGAAUGUAGGCCCUCUAAAAUAGACAAACGUAAAUACAUUGUUGAUAAGCGUUGCAAAUUGUUUUGGGCUAGGGGCCCCAUGGGCCCCCUGCACCCCAAGGGCCCCUGGGCAGCGGCCCCGCUGGCCCAGUCCGUAAUCCAUCCCUGGAUGUCGGGAUACAAGUGCAUGUGGAGGCAGCACCAGAAGCAGCUGAUGGCGCUAGAGAACAAGCUGAGGGCCGAGAUGGACGAGCACCGGCUGAGGCUGGACAAGGAGCUGGAGGCCCAGAGGAGCAGCUUCUGCGGAGACAUCGAGAAGCUGCUGAAGAAGCAGCAGGCCUCCCUGGAGAAAGAUGUAACGUAGCCUCUCUUAUGUGCCACCAUCAUCAUCCUCAUCAUCGUCGUGAUCAGUCCCCCUAACCAUACCACCCCCCACACGGGCUAAGACGGUCGCUAAUGACGAGAGGAAGUACCAGCAGCAUAUUCAGAGCCAGCAGAAGAAGGAGCUCAGCAGCUUCCAGGAGCUACAGAAACGAGAGUAUAAGCUACGUAAGGAGCAGCUCAAAGAGAGAACUGGCUCAAGAGGUUUGCGUUCCGCUGGGGUGGUUUGGGGUCCCUCCUUCCACCAAAAGGGAGGCCAGCAUAGGUGAUGGGAAGACAGAUGGAUGCUAAGGCAGACUGGCUGAACUGUAGGCUCUGAAGCAGGAGACACAGAUGGGUGACACGUCAGUGGGGACAUGAGAGGGUUAUCUGGAAAAUUAGGCUGGAAUAGCUGAGGUCUGAGAAAUGUGUUACAGUAAGAGGCAAACAGCACCUUUUAUACAGAAUAAAAAUGGCCAUCACCAGCGGGAAGCUCAACAAGUGUAUCGAGUCAUCUAUCAUGCAUGUGAUUUAUUAUGUAUGUGCAUGAAUAUGUGUGUGUGUGUGUCAAUACUAGCAAAACACACCAAGAGCACGGUACAGGGAACAAAAUGUUUUUUUCAACAUGAAUAAUACUGGGAAUAAGGAUACGGAAAAUAUGAAUCUCUUCAGGAAGUACACAAGACCUUUUUAAAAAAAGGCACUGACUUUCUGAUUAUCAGAAUUGUUAAAGUAUCGUCUUGGCAAAGUGACGAAUGCGAGACUCGGCGGCAGAAGCAGACUUUGAAUUCCAGAAGUCUGAGCGGACUUUCCAUUCUUUCACUGCAGACGUCUUUCCAUCGCGUUUUUUCGGGGAGUAGUGGAAAACUCAACCUGACACCAGUGACAGAAAAAAAAGCCCAAGUGACCUCUGUGACAUUUUCCAGUGGUCCUGAUGUCAGCCAGGAGUCGUGGCCAAUUUGUCUCGGCGACAGACCACUUUAAGGCUCCGUUUGAUUUACAGGAACUGUGACCAGAAGAUCUUUUCUUAAGAAACUAUUGAGAAGGUUCUAGCUCCUGCCAAGUAUGAGCACAGUGCGGGGAUGAUGUGAGGUCGUCCACAAACUGCACCUCUGUCACCAGAGACGUUUUGCUCAUAAAUAACUCAUUUAAUUUCACUUACAGUUUACUCUCUCUGAUAGAUGUGACUAUGAUUAAGAGUUUUGAAAGGACAUUUCUUUGGUCUAGAAUUCCCUCAGACAAAUACACAAUAAACUCAAGCAAUAGAAAACGUUUUUCUCGUGAGAUUUUUUAAUUGUAUUAAUUCCAAAACAAUUAUCUCCUGUGC